Molecule: ribosomal RNA, 253 nt
Filed under: uncultured bacterium
Lineage: Bacteria
Description: partial 16S ribosomal RNA
Rfam family: Bacterial small subunit ribosomal RNA
Source: RNAcentral
UACGUAGGGCGCAAGCGUUGUCCGGAAUUAUUGGGCGUAAAGAGCUCGUAGGCGGUCUGUCGCGUCGGAUGUGAAAACCCAGGGCUCAACCCUGGGCCUGCAUUCGAUACGGGCAGACUAGAGUUCGGUAGGGGAGACUGGAAUUCCUGGUGUAGCGGUGAAAUGCGCAGAUAUCAGGAGGAACACCGGUGGCGAAGGCGGGUCUCUGGGCCGAAACUGACGCUGAGGAGCGAAAGCGUGGGGAGCGAACAGG